Molecule: long non-coding RNA, 826 nt
Organism: Rhea pennata
Lineage: Eukaryota; Metazoa; Chordata; Aves; Rheiformes; Rheidae
Exons: 7
Source: RefSeq, a predicted model, not a curated record
GCUGCGGCGGGCGGACGGCUGGUGGUGUGCGCCGGCUGGAGGGUGCCCCUGCGGCCCCGGUAAGGAUCGGAAAGGCGGCCAGGAACUCCAGCUCCUUCACAUGUCCACCAGUCCCCUGGGCCAGAGAGAGCACCGAGGCAGGUCUGGAGCUGUGCACAUGCUGACGGCCAGCUAGCCCUAAGAGAGAGGACCGCAGCCAAGCUCUGUGCAUCUUUCCCUCAGCCAGUCCUAACAGAAGUCUCUCCAAUCUACCCCUCUGCCAAUUCUUAUGAUACAGCUGGAGAACGGUGGUGACAUGACAGACGACAGCGGUUCUUCCUUGCAAGUGAUGACAUUUGGUGUCAUGCUUGAAUAGCACAGGCCGCAGUCAUCUUUUUCUGCUGUGCAGGAAGAAAUACCGUCUGACAUAGGCACACUCUGUAUGACUCUAGACAUCCUAUUCUUGUCAGGCAGCUGCCAAUAUCGGAUGAAUAUCAGAGGAGCCAGCGCCCGAGAGAGGAAAGACGUGCGGCUACGACGCACCAUGGUCUGGCUCGAGGACCAAGGAGUCCAAAGUGAGAACUAGUUGCAUCAUACUGGAGGAGUACUGUAGGAAAGCACCAGAAAGGAAAUCUAACAUUAGACAGACUUUCUCACUUCUGGUUUGCAGAAAAUGCAACCUCUUUUGAGCUCCUCCUCUGUGGGAAGAUUAGGGAGAACAAAAUUAGGAACUCAAAUCUAUAUGGAAGAACACUCUUUUCCAAUGACCUAGGUAAUGACCUAGUAAUGUCCUAAUACAUUAGCACAUCUUUAUAAUACUAGAAGAAAAAGUCAAAUGUUGUAUAAU